Molecule: transfer RNA, 76 nt
Filed under: Bacillota bacterium
Lineage: Bacteria; Bacillati; Bacillota
Description: tRNA-Arg
Rfam family: tRNA
About the family: Transfer RNA (tRNA) molecules are approximately 80 nucleotides in length. Their secondary structure includes four short double-helical elements and three loops (D, anti-codon, and T loops).
Source: RNAcentral
GCGCCCGUAGCUCAGUGGAUAGAGCAUUUGACUACGAAUCAAAGUGUCGUAGGUUCGACUCCUACCGGGCGUGCCA